GUUUGAGAGCGGAAACUAAUUGAUGGGACGUACGAAUACAUAUUUAAGGACGGACAAGGGUAACACUUUUAUGCCUCCUUCCGCUGCAGCGGGUGAUAUAAAAAAAUCAGAUGUUUUUUAUACUGAAAUUGUACAAACCCGACCAAUAGCCGACUAUCCCUACGACCCCUAUACGAUCAAGUCGAUCUGGUCUGGCCGAGAUCUUGUUGAGAUCGAGUAUAGUUGAUUUGGUCUAGCUAGUGGUGUAAAGAUCGUGUAGAGAUCGUGAAUUCGUCGGAAUCAUCGAAUAUGUAUUCAAUAAGUAGUCUGGUUUGAGUCGUGAUAGAGUCGUUAAGGAGUCGUGAAUGAUCGGGUUAAGGUUGAGUACAGUCGGAUAUAGAAGUCGGGUAGGAGUCGUAAAAAGGCCCGAUCAAGAAUUUGGUCACGCUUGGUCGUGGAAAUUUGGACUAUCGGAAUCAUCGAGUUGAUCUGAUCGGCAGUGUGAACCUAGCUUAACAUAAAAUGUGUUUACGUUAUAAUAUUUUAUCGUGUUUCCUGUGUGUAUGUACCCAAAGUUGUUGGUUUGUUUGUAAGAUUCAGGUGUGUGAUUACCUUAGUAUAUAUACAUAGUGUAAUCUGCUAGAAUGGUGGAGUCUAGUGGGUUAGUGUAGUGGAAUACCUGUGUGUAUUCAAUUAAGGUAGUGUGUUUCCGGUCAUUUUUCAAACUAAAAAAUGUCUUCGUUUUUUACGCUCUCUUCAAGCUCCGCCACAGCUAUUAACCUUGUC
Molecule: long non-coding RNA, 765 nt
Filed under: Mytilus galloprovincialis (Mediterranean mussel)
Lineage: Eukaryota; Metazoa; Mollusca; Bivalvia; Mytilida; Mytilidae
Source: RNAcentral